Equus caballus (horse) is the source of this 46-nucleotide non-coding RNA. The record is from Rfam. Lineage: Eukaryota; Metazoa; Chordata; Mammalia; Perissodactyla; Equidae.
UCAAAGGCUCUUUUCAGAGCCACCCACUCCUUCAAAUAAAAAGAGU